UGUCCUGUAGCUCAGUGGUUAGAGCACUCGCCUCUUAAGCGAGAGACCUGGGUUCGAUUCCCCGGGCAGGGCAA
Non-coding RNA from Callorhinchus milii (elephant shark), 74 nucleotides. The record is from the annotation of a RefSeq genome assembly. NCBI's taxonomy places the organism in Eukaryota, Metazoa, Chordata, Chondrichthyes, Chimaeriformes, Callorhinchidae.